This 447-nucleotide ribosomal RNA is filed under the name uncultured bacterium. RNAcentral describes it as "SSU rRNA". It matches the Rfam family "Bacterial small subunit ribosomal RNA", at positions 26 to 518 of the family's 1533-position model. The record is from RNAcentral.
AGAGCGAACGCUGGCGGCAGGCUUAACACAUGCAAGUCGAGCGGGCGUAGCAAUACGUCAGCGGCAGACGGGUGAGUAACGCGUGGGAACGUACCUUUUGGUUCGGAACAACACAGGGAAACUUGUGCUAAUACCGGAUAAGCCCUUACGGGGAAAGAUUUAUCGCCGAAAGAUCGGCCCGCGUCUGAUUAGCUAGUUGGUGUGGUAACGGCGCACCAAGGCGACGAUCAGUAGCUGGUCUGAGAGGAUGAUCAGCCACAUUGGGACUGAGACACGGCCCAAACUCCUACGGGAGGCAGCAGUGGGGAAUAUUGGACAAUGGGCGCAAGCCUGAUCCAGCCAUGCCGCGUGAGUGAUGAAGGCCCUAGGGUUGUAAAGCUCUUUUGUGCGGGAAGAUAAUGACGGUACCGCAAGAAUAAGCCCGGCUAACUUCGUGCCAGCAGCCGC